UUUGAAUUCCCAUUUCUAUUGUUUCACAGUCUCAUAUGAUGGACAUUCUUUGCUAUACACAUCUUUUUGUGAAUUGCUUAAGCAGUUUUCUCUUGAAGACAAAGGAACUGCAUUGCAGUUCAAUACUCAAUUUUACCCAGCACAAUACCUUUUUCUACUAUCAAGCUUCUAACUUUGGUAAAACAGGACUUGCCAAAACAAAAAAAGACAUGCAUAUUAAUAAAACAGCAACUGACUAUGUUUACAAUUACAAAUCUAUAGCACACACGACAUGGUGAGGAUAAGAACUUUUUUGCCUCCUUGUAGAAUAUCCAAUUUCUUCUAUCUUU
This 329-nucleotide long non-coding RNA is filed under the name Androctonus crassicauda. The record is from RNAcentral. Lineage: Eukaryota; Metazoa; Arthropoda; Arachnida; Scorpiones; Buthidae.